AGGGGAAACCUGAUCCAUCCAUGCCGCGUGAGUAAGAAGGCCUUCGGGUUGUAAAGCUCUUUCGGCUGGGAAGAAAUCGCACAGGCUAAUACUCUGUGUGGAUGACGGUACCAGCAUAAGAAGCACCGGCUAACUACGUGCCAGCAGCCGCGGUAAUACGUAGGGUGCGAGCGUUAAUCGGAAUUACUGGGCGUAAAGCGUGCGCAGGCGGUUGUGCAAGACAGAUGUGAAAUCCCCGGGCUCAACCUGGGAACUGCAUUUGUGACUGCACGACUAGAGUACGGCAGAGGGGGGUAGAAUUCCACGUGUAGCAGUGAAAUGCGUAGAGAUGUGGAGGAAUACCGAUGGCGAAGGCAGCCCCCUGGGCCGAUACUGACGCUCAUGCACGAAAGCGUGGGGAGCAAACAGGAUUAGAUACCCUGGUAGUCCACGCCCUAAACGAUGUCAACUAGUUGUUGGUAGGGUUAAACCUAUUAGUAACGUAGCUAACGCGUGAAGUUGACCGCCUGGGGAGUACGGUCGCAAGAUUAAAACUCAAAGGAAUUGACGGGGACCCGCACAAGCGGUGGAUGAUGUGGAUUAAUUCGAUGCAACGCGAAAAAUCUUACCUACCCUUGACAUGUCAGGAAUCCCGAAGAGAUUUGGGAGUGCCGCAAGG
RNAcentral lists this ribosomal RNA (658 nucleotides) under uncultured bacterium. Its description in RNAcentral is "bacterial SSU rRNA". It matches the Rfam family "Bacterial small subunit ribosomal RNA", at positions 373 to 1024 of the family's 1533-position model. The record is from RNAcentral.